AUACGUAGGGGGCGAGCGUUGUCCGGAAUGAUUGGGCGUAAAGGGCGCGUAGGCGGCCUGUUAAGUCUGGAGUGAACGUCCUGUUUUCAAGAUGGGAAUUGCUUUGGAUACUGAUGGGCUUGAGUGCAGGAGAGGUUAUCGGAAUUCCCGGUGUAGCGGUGAAAUGCGUAGAGAUCGGGAGGAACACCAGUGGAGAAGGCGGGUAACUGGACUGCAACUGACGCUGAGGCGCGAAAGUGUGGGGAGCAAACAGGAUUAGAUACCCUGGUAGUCCACACUGUAAACGGUGAAUGCUAGGUGUAAGAGGUAUCGACCCCUUUUGUGCCGGAGUUAACACAAUAAGCAUUCCGCCUGGGGAGUACGGCCGCAAGGUUGAAACUCAAAUGAAUUGGCGGGG
RNAcentral lists this ribosomal RNA (397 nucleotides) under uncultured bacterium. RNAcentral describes it as "partial 16S ribosomal RNA". It matches the Rfam family "Bacterial small subunit ribosomal RNA", at positions 523 to 918 of the family's 1533-position model. The record is from RNAcentral.